AUGUUGACCUUGCUUUGGUUGAUGAAUGAUGGAGCUGUUUGUUGCCAUCAAUUAUUUCUAGACCCUAUGAGGGACUUUGUGUUGGAUGAUGAACAGAAACUCCUGCAUAAAUCAAUGUUGGAAAUUGAACCAUGCUUUCCAAAUUUGAAAUAUAAUCUUGAGGAAAGAUUUGCACCAAACAUGGCAAGAAGGCUGAAGAACUUUUGGACCUGAGGCACCUUGUGGAGUUGGAACAUGACCUUCUCAAAGAGAAAAAAGAAGACAGAACUCAGAAGAAAUGAGAAAUAUUUAGGGGAUUGUUCUUUAUGAAGCAGUUUUUUAAAGCAGUGGUCACAGGAUGUGUUCUUGUGUAGGAAAGGACUAAUUCAGUAGAUGUGGAUUGCUCAAACUCUGCACAAUUUCAAAAAAGGCCUGUUUUUAGGACUGGCCCAUGGCUGGCUCCUGAGAGCUGAACUCUGAGCUCUAGAAUGUUCUUUUUGUACUAUUUUGACCUAGUAGUUUAUGCAAAUAAUGUGAUUUAUGGAAACACUUUUUUUUUUGCUCUGGCAAUGUGGUCUAAAUAGCUAAGGUCAGUUAUGCAGAUACUGCACACCUACUUGGCUGACCCCUGAUAAAAACCCUAGACAUCAAGGCUUUGAUGACCUUAUCUGAUUGGCAACACUUUGCAUAUGUUGUCACACAUUGUUG
This 687-nucleotide long non-coding RNA is filed under the name Vulpes vulpes (red fox). RNAcentral's name for it is "lncRNA (ENSVVUG00000012338.1)". Lineage: Eukaryota; Metazoa; Chordata; Mammalia; Carnivora; Canidae. The record is from RNAcentral.